CCUACGGGGGGCAGCAGUGGGGAAUAUUGCACAAUGGGGGAAACCCUGAUGCAGCGACGCCGCGUGAGCGAUGAAGUAUUUCGGUAUGUAAAGCUCUAUCAGCAGGGAAGAAGAUGACGGUACCUGACUAAGAAGCCCCGGCUAACUACGUGCCAGCAGCCGCGGUAAUACGUAGGAUGCGAGCGUUAUCCGGAAUUACUGGGUGUAAAGGGAGCGCAGGCGGGACUGCAAGUUGGAUGUGAAAUACCGCAGCUUAACUGCGGAGCUGCAUCCAAAACUGUAGUUCUUGAGUGGAGUAGAGGCAA
RNAcentral lists this ribosomal RNA (305 nucleotides) under uncultured bacterium. RNAcentral's name for it is "bacterial SSU rRNA". It matches the Rfam family "Bacterial small subunit ribosomal RNA", at positions 338 to 660 of the family's 1533-position model. The record is from RNAcentral.